UCCGCGCUGCGCACUCGCUGUCGGCGAGACGCCGGCGUCCUUGUGUCUGCCACAUUCAUACGAGCAAAAAAGUUAGGCCCGAAUAUUGCGAUAUCACUGUUGGAUCGUUUAAAAACGCGAUAUUGCUCUACUCAUUCCUGGAAAAGACGACGGGAUAGCAACGGUUCAUGUGCCGCUACGGAAUUGGAGCAGCAAUGAAAAAGAGAAGCUCUUUUUUAACAGUGCUGAGUCAGAGAUGCCAACAUGCUGCAGCCUUGCUUUUUGCCGUACGCAGUGUCCAGACGCCUUCAUGCACAGGCACAUCCUGCAGAUGGAUUGCACCAGCGCAAUGUCAAAACCAGCUACCAACGCGUCCUCUGGCAGACAUCACCUUCAAAAAGCACGUUGUAAACAAGACUGUGCCGGCAAAGUCGAAGCGGCAACUUCCACCUUCCCCCCUGGCACCACGAUCUUCGGACAUCCAAGAGUUUUCAAAGAAUGUUGCUGAUGAUGCCUCACACCUUGUUUGGAAUCGAUACAGCAGAAGCAAGCCUCUACCUGCACGGAACAUUAGUGCAAUUUCGGAUAAGGAAGACCUGCAUUCUGAAAAAUGCUGUUCACUAGUCAAGGAGUACUUCGAACGGCUGGUGCCACUAACAGAUGCCGCAAGGAAUGAAAUAUGCAAAAAGACUAUUGGGCAAAGCCAAAAUCCAGAAUGUGUAUCGGUAUGCUGAUAACAGCCUAGCGCGUAGCAUAUCUAAUCUUAACCUUGAGCGACUUCACGUGGUCCUGUUUGUACGUGUCCUCCCCAUUGUGUGUGUGUAUAUAUUCGCGAUUCCAAUGAACUAUAGGUGGCGCCGCGAACUUCCAAGAUGGCGGACGAAAGGACGUCUCCCGAGCGAAGCAAGCGUAUUCGGCAAGGUGUCGGCCUAAUUAUGUUCAUCUGUUUCAGUUUUUAAUACCCACAAAUGAGCACGUUUCAUGAAAAAGGAAUGAACUUUAUCAUCUGGUCAUCUCAUACUGUGCAGUUCAACUCAGAGAAGUAGGCAAAAAGUUCCCGUCCUCGAAGUUUGUUUACAAACGUCGGGAGUCGAGUGAACAAAGGAGGCAUUUUAGAAUCUAAGAAGGCAAAGCAGGGAUAUGUUUCCAAGAAGAGUGACAUUUCAUGUGUUUUCGAAUGUGGAUUACUAGUCUACAAGCAAUACCAUGUUUGAGUUUCUCCUCCGAUAGUCCCUCGUAUUUACGUGUGAGUGUUGCAAUCAAGGGAACAACAGCUCCGUUGGAAGUGUAGUGUCUCUAUUAAUUGAUACUUUUUGUCGGAACAUAGAGAAGUAAUCAUAAAAUUGUAAUGCACAAGUUAGCGUUCACAUGGGCAUUUGCAACAGCUCAAGAUAACACUUAUUUCCUUUGUUUCUUGUGGUGACGAUAGCGUGCUCGUUAGCUUUGACCCUGAUGUUUUCAGAACUCUGUGACUGUAUGUCAAAGGUAUACGUGAACAAUACAUAUUUUGAAAAUGC
Molecule: long non-coding RNA, 1496 nt
Organism: Ornithodoros turicata
Lineage: Eukaryota; Metazoa; Arthropoda; Arachnida; Ixodida; Argasidae
Exons: 4
Source: RefSeq, a predicted model, not a curated record